UACGUAGGGGGCAAGCGUUGUCCGGAAUCAUUGGGCGUAAAGAGCGUGUAGGCGGCCAGAUAAGUCCGCUGUGAAAUCUCGAGGCUCAACUUCGAGCUGUCGGUGGAAACUGUCUGGCUAGAGUCCGGAAGAGGAGAAUGGAAUUCCUGGUGUAGCGGUGGAAUGCGCAGAUAUCAGGAGGAACACCAAUAGCGAAGGCAGCUCGCUGGGACGGUAUUGACGCUAAGGCGCGAAAGCGUGGGGAGCAAACAGG
This 253-nucleotide ribosomal RNA is filed under the name uncultured bacterium. RNAcentral's name for it is "partial 16S ribosomal RNA". It matches the Rfam family "Bacterial small subunit ribosomal RNA", at positions 524 to 776 of the family's 1533-position model. The record is from RNAcentral.